Molecule: RNA transcript, 891 nt
Organism: Magnolia sinica
Lineage: Eukaryota; Viridiplantae; Streptophyta; Magnoliopsida; Magnoliales; Magnoliaceae
Exons: 7
Source: RefSeq, a predicted model, not a curated record
CCCAGCUGAUCUGAUGGUGGCUUAUAUCUCAUGUCACUAAAAUUUGCUUGAUUCUGUGGAAAUCUUUUGGAACCCUAAAGAGAUCCCAUGGGUUGAGUAUGUUGUGGAGUCGAUUGGCGUGUUCACCGACAAGGACAUGGCUUCCGCCCAUCUCAAGAUCUAUUUGUUCUUUGAAAGCUUCAACAUCGGUUAAUUAUCAGAAAGGAGCACAUCUUACUUACUAGAUUGUGGACUACAGAAACAAGCUUUGUAAGGAAUCUGUGGGAGAAGAAAGGAAUUCUUUAUCAUUAUUUCCCAAUGCACCAGUUCCAUGUUGGCAAGCUGCCACACCUCAUGGCAUGGGAUUUGGCAUGCAAUGUCAAUGCCUGCAUUUCCCCAAAAAUCAAAAACUACCAACCCAUUUGAUCUUGGCACUGAACCAACUCCAGUUCAUGCCCAAAUGGUUGUGAAAUGUGAGUUGCCGGUUGUCCUUGCAAGGGAAUUACCAUAUGAGGAAUGUCCAAUCUAGCUCUCUAGUUCCCAAUCAGCUAUAUUUUAAUCCUGCUACUGUGAAAAUGUUGAGCAACUUGAAGUUUGGUUUUGCAGUAUAAAAGCAAUGCGUGGUUCGUGACGUGGUCAGCCAUGUGCAGUAAGCUUUCGGAUUAAAGCGAAGCUGAGAAUAGGGUGUUAGUUGAUGGAAAAUUGAUAACCAGUAGAGGCACAUCCAUGGUGUUGUCGCUUGUGAUUGUUGAGAAGCUAUUUAACUGCGAAAAGGCAUUGGAUCUUGUUGUCAAUGAGAACUUUAAAUAGACAUAUAACUAUUAUGUUGGUAUUGUACUUUUGUUAAUGGAUUAAAAUAAAUGAUUGUAUUUGAUUGAAUGAAUGAAUGAUUAUAUUUGAUUGAAUGAAUAA